GUGCCAGCAGCCGCGGUAAUACGGAGGGUGCAAGCGUUAAUCGGAAUUACUGGGCGUAAAGCGCACGCAGGCGGUUUGUUAAGUCAGAUGUGAAAUCCCCGGGCUCAACCUGGGAACUGCAUCUGAUACUGGCAAGCUUGAGUCUCGUAGAGGGGGGUAGAAUUCCAGGUGUAGCGGUGAAAUGCGUAGAGAUCUGGAGGAAUACCGGUGGCGAAGGCGGCCCCCUGGACGAAGACUGACGCUCAGGUGCGAAAGCGUGGGGAGCAAACAGG
This 272-nucleotide ribosomal RNA is filed under the name uncultured prokaryote. RNAcentral's name for it is "partial 16S ribosomal RNA". It matches the Rfam family "Bacterial small subunit ribosomal RNA", at positions 505 to 776 of the family's 1533-position model. The record is from RNAcentral.